CCUGGCCCGGCAGUGUUUGGC
Molecule: microRNA, 21 nt
Filed under: Cavia porcellus (domestic guinea pig)
Lineage: Eukaryota; Metazoa; Chordata; Mammalia; Rodentia; Caviidae
Description: cpo-miR-12076-5p
Source: miRBase by way of RNAcentral